GUGCCAGCAGCCGCGGUAAUACGUAGGUCCCGAGCGUUGUCCGGAUUUAUUGGGCGUAAAGCGAGCGCAGGUGGUUUAAUAAGUCUGAUGUAAAAGGCAGUGGCUCAACCAUUGUGUGCAUUGGAAACUGUUAGACUUGAGUGCAGUAGAGGAGAGUGGAAUUCCAUGUGUAGCGGUGAAAUGCGUAGAUAUAUGGAGGAACACCGGUGGCGAAAGCGGCUCUCUGGACUGUAACUGACACUGAGGCUCGAAAGCGUGGGUAGCAAACAGGAUUAGAUACCCUGGUAGUCC
This 291-nucleotide ribosomal RNA is filed under the name uncultured microorganism. RNAcentral describes it as "partial 16S ribosomal RNA". It matches the Rfam family "Bacterial small subunit ribosomal RNA", at positions 505 to 796 of the family's 1533-position model. The record is from RNAcentral.